This is a non-coding RNA of Salvelinus sp. IW2-2015, 350 nucleotides long. NCBI's taxonomy places the organism in Eukaryota, Metazoa, Chordata, Actinopteri, Salmoniformes, Salmonidae. The record is from RefSeq and is a predicted model, not a curated record.
GUACUGUAUUUAAGGAAUGGGGGAGUUUGAUCGAGGUGCUUUGUUUUAUGCUAGACAGAAGAUGAAGUGGUGUGUUCUGCUGGUCUUGCUGCUGCUCAGGCUUGCCCCUAUACCAGUCAGAGCUGGCGUCCUUGGCAGAUGAAGCUCUCGUCGUGACCAUGACCCAAGUCAACAAUCUGUACGCUGGCCUUCGUCUAUACCGAGAUACCCAUGGCUCUGUCAAAAGGAAUUUGGCAAUACGUCCAAGAGGCCUCACAACCGCGUGUAUGGCGUCGAGUGGUUUGCUGAUGUCAACGUUGUGAACAGAGUGCCCCAUAGUGGCGGUGGGUUUAUGGUGUGGGCAGGCAUAA